ACAAGUGUGUACACCGAUAUUU
RNAcentral lists this small nuclear RNA (22 nucleotides) under Arabidopsis thaliana (thale cress). RNAcentral describes it as "snRNA_15635". The record is from RNAcentral. Lineage: Eukaryota; Viridiplantae; Streptophyta; Magnoliopsida; Brassicales; Brassicaceae.